Molecule: long non-coding RNA, 641 nt
Filed under: Brassica napus (rape)
Lineage: Eukaryota; Viridiplantae; Streptophyta; Magnoliopsida; Brassicales; Brassicaceae
Description: long non-coding RNA (BNAP_LNC003857)
Source: RNAcentral
CCGUUUACGCUAGCUUCUCUAUAAAUAUUACAAUACACCAACUCAAAAACACUUUAAUCAGACAAGAAACCAAACCAAACUCAAAAACACUAUAAUCAGACAACAAAACCAAACCAUUAUCCCUCCUUUCUUCUCCAAUUAUAUCGAUGUCGGAAGAAAACCGCAAAUGUCAAAAUACAAACCUCAAACCUCCUUCCACUAAAACUCUCUCUCUGUUCAAUCCCGUUUCUGUGCAAUGGAGAAACCACCGGAAGAAACAGCCGGUGGCCCAGAGACCAAACCGGUUUCGAAAUCGAUCAAAGCUCGUUUCCUGAAGAAAGGCUCAAGAUUCGGUGGUGGAGCUCCCGGUUUACAUGGCCGCUGCUGCUGAAGAAGUAAGUCUCGAGAUUCAGAUCUGAUUUUUUUGUUUUAGCGAAAAUCAUUGUCUGAUUUCUAAGAUCUAUGGUGAUUCAGGUGUUAAGAGCUUGCUGCCAGAGACAACAAGAAGUCGACGAUCAUUCCCAGUUUUUUUUUUUUUUUUGCCGAUUAGGAACUAUGAAGCUUUUACCAAUUUUUUUUUUUAGAGUAAUUUUGUAUUAUAUAUUUGUAUUAUGUUAUACAUAUGAGAGAGGAAAGAGAGAGUGGGCGGGGGAAGGUAGGGG